GCCAGAAUGGCAUAGUGGUUAAGUGUUGGACUAGGACACUAUAGAGAUCAGGGUUCGAAUCCCAGCUCAGCCA
This is a non-coding RNA of Phrynosoma platyrhinos (Desert horned lizard), 73 nucleotides long. The record is from the annotation of a GenBank genome assembly. Lineage: Eukaryota; Metazoa; Chordata; Lepidosauria; Squamata; Phrynosomatidae.